This is a long non-coding RNA of Xenia sp. Carnegie-2017, 191 nucleotides long. RefSeq lists it as uncharacterized. NCBI's taxonomy places the organism in Eukaryota, Metazoa, Cnidaria, Anthozoa, Malacalcyonacea, Xeniidae. The transcript is spliced from 3 exons. The record is from RefSeq and is a predicted model, not a curated record.
AAAGUACAUGGGGGAUGCGUUGUAAACUGUCUUUCGCACUGAUUAGGUCAGCAAUUACUGCGAUACGAGGAAGUCGAUCUGCCUCAACUCGCGAACAUUCUUUAAAUAUUGACCUAGGUUAUUGGGAAAGUUGUCUUUACAUUUGACUGUCCCUUUAUCAUGGAUAUUUUUAAACACUGAUUUUAGUCAUA